Formica exsecta is the source of this 138-nucleotide long non-coding RNA. RefSeq lists it as uncharacterized. Lineage: Eukaryota; Metazoa; Arthropoda; Insecta; Hymenoptera; Formicidae. The transcript has 2 exons. The record is from RefSeq and is a predicted model, not a curated record.
ACUAAACUCACUAACUAACCACAGAGUAAUGAGAAGUAUUGUUCGGCGAAAAAGGUGAGAUGAUAAAAACAAAUGUUAUCAGUAAAUUGUUAAAACAGUGAAAUGAAAAACAAUAUCAGCAUUGUCUGUAGUAUAAAA